GAUGAACGCUAGCGACAGGCUUAACACAUGCAAGUCGAGGGGCAGCAUGAGGUAGCAAUACCUUGAUGGCGACCGGCGCACGGGUGAGUAACGCGUAUGCAACCUGCCCGAUACCGGGGUAUAGCCCAUGGAAACGUGGAUUAACACCCCAUAGUACUUCUAUCCUGCCUGGGAUGGGAGUUAAAUGUUCAAGGUAUCGGAUGGGCAUGCUUCCUAUUAGUUAGUUGGCGGGGUAACAGCCCACCAAGACGAUGAUAGGUAGGGGUUCUGAGAGGAAGGUCCCCCACAUUGGAACUGAGACACGGUCCAAACUCCUACGGGAGGCAGCAGUGAGGAAUAUUGGUCAAUGGACGAGAGUCUGAACCGGCCAAGUCGCGUGAGGGAAGACUGCCCUAUGGUUGUAAACCUCUUUUAUAAGGGAAGAAUAAGUUCUACGUGUAGAAUGAUGCCUGUACCUUAUGAAUAGGCAUCGGCUAACUCCGUGCCAGCAGCCGCCGUAA
This 500-nucleotide ribosomal RNA is filed under the name uncultured bacterium. Its description in RNAcentral is "partial 16S ribosomal RNA". It matches the Rfam family "Bacterial small subunit ribosomal RNA", at positions 28 to 523 of the family's 1533-position model. The record is from RNAcentral.